CUUUCCAAAUGGCACCAGCAGCUUCUAAAUAGCUUAGAUGGAGGAAGCCAUGAAGGACGUAUAUAUUUCAGAAGUCUCAGGCUGUAAGUUUGAUGGAAGAACUUUCAACACUAUCUUUUGGAAAUAUCAGUACACGGACAAAGUAUUUUCACGUGCUGUUGCUAGUGUUAGUGAGCCAGGACGUGGUCAGGAAAGUAUUUUUGGUUCCUGAAAAAGUCACACACACAGAGCAAGUGAAGGACUCUGUGACACAGCGGCCAAAACAGAGACUUUGCACGAGCACAACCAAGAAGAACGUCAUCACUGGUCACGGGGCAACAGACAACCCAAGAUUUGCCAAGUGCAUAGUGUCAAAACACUGAUGGUAAUUCCUGCUGCCUCAGACAUCUUGAUGUUUCAAUUUUAGCAGUAUGAGGAGCCUGCAGGGAAUCCAAGAGGGGGAAAAAAAAAAAAUCCACGAGGCUGCAAAGGAGAAG
Long non-coding RNA from Empidonax traillii (willow flycatcher), 476 nucleotides. RefSeq lists it as uncharacterized. The record is from RefSeq and is a predicted model, not a curated record. The transcript is spliced from 3 exons. NCBI's taxonomy places the organism in Eukaryota, Metazoa, Chordata, Aves, Passeriformes, Tyrannidae.